RNAcentral lists this long non-coding RNA (354 nucleotides) under Pan troglodytes (chimpanzee). RNAcentral's name for it is "long non-coding RNA NONPTRT015163". Lineage: Eukaryota; Metazoa; Chordata; Mammalia; Primates; Hominidae. The record is from RNAcentral.
UCCACACUGAAUUUUACAAGCGGGAUGGAUUUCUCUAAGGCAGAAGACUGAUUUUUGAAAAUAUGUAUUUGGGAGACAGUCACGUCCUAUUGAAUACCUUGUGCUGGUGCUGCCAUCGAAAAAUCUGGUUACACUCCGGGGAGGACUGCUACCACUGCAGAACUGAACCACUUCGGCCAUGAGAUGAGUGUCCGGCCUGAGCAGGCACACCAUGAAUAGAUACACAACAAUCAGGCAGCUCGGGGAUGGAACCUACGGUUCCGUCCUGCUGGGAAGAAGCAUUGAGUCUGGGGAGCUGAUUGCUAUUAAAAAAAUGAAAAGAAAAUUUUAUUCCUGGGAGGAAUGCAUGAACCU